AAGAAACUAAUCAACGUACUGGAUGCUGUUUUCAAGCCUGAAAUUCGCUGAUCCAGAGCAGAAACACUGCGCUUCGAAACGCAGCACCCUGAUAACCACUUAUAGUCAGAACACUUAAUUUAUCCUGAAGGAAACUGCUGAUGUUCCAACUGCACAGAUAAACAGAGAUACAAGUCAACAUGAAGAGCAAAAGACUGGUUGUUUUUACAAACAUAUCUGAAGUCCAGCAGAUGAGGGACAUGUUGAGACUACAGCUAACAACUGCUGAUGAAGGAAUGAUCACAGACCAGGAAGAAGAAAUGAGUCAAUUAAAAGAAGAGAACAAAAGAGAAAUGCAGCCGUUGUUGGAGAUUAAAGAAGAAAUUCUUCCUGAACACCAGGAAUG
This is a long non-coding RNA of Thalassophryne amazonica, 385 nucleotides long. RefSeq lists it as uncharacterized. The transcript has 4 exons. The record is from RefSeq and is a predicted model, not a curated record. Lineage: Eukaryota; Metazoa; Chordata; Actinopteri; Batrachoidiformes; Batrachoididae.